UCCCCCUCCCCAGUGUCGCGAGUUGGCGCCGCUGCCACCCCCCACUCCGCGCUCUUGGCCCCUCGGCCGGCCGGGCGUACCGAGCCCUCUCGGCGCCCCUCGGAUCCUCCCUCCCACCCGCCCUUCCCCGCGGGAUCUGCCACCCGCACCUGCCCCCCAGCCCUGUUCUCUCCCCGCCGAGCCGCGGUGGCAGCAGCAGGAGGAGGAGCCGGAGCCGGAGCCGGAGCCGGAGCCGGAGGCGGCGGUGGCCGGGGAACCCAUGGCGUACAGUCAAGGAGGCGGCAAGAAGAAAGUCUGUUACUACUACGAUGGUGAUAUUGGAAACUAUUAUUAUGGACAAGGUCAUCCCAUGAAACCUCAUAGAAUCCGCAUGACCCAUAACUUGCUGUUAAAUUAUGGCUUAUACAGAAAAAUGGAAAUAUAUAGGCCCCAUAAAGCCACUGCCGAAGAAAUGACAAAAUACCACAGUGAUGAGUAUAUCAAAUUUUUGCGGUCAAUAAGACCAGAUAACAUGUCUGAGUAUAGUAAGCAGAUGCAGAGAUUUAAUGUUGGAGAGGAUUGUCCAGUGUUUGAUGGACUCUUUGAGUUUUGUCAGCUCUCAACUGGCGGCUCAGUUGCUGGGGCCGUGAAGUUAAACCGACAACAAACUGAUAUGGCUGUUAAUUGGGCUGGAGGAUUACAUCAUGCUAAGAAAUCAGAAGCAUCAGGGUUCCUUUAUCCUUAAUGACUACUUCCGUGCUUGCCAUUCCUUGAAUUACCUAAAAGCUACUCAAUCAGACGAGUCCCUAUAUAGUUGAU
This is a non-coding RNA of Microcebus murinus (gray mouse lemur), 798 nucleotides long. Lineage: Eukaryota; Metazoa; Chordata; Mammalia; Primates; Cheirogaleidae. The record is from RefSeq and is a predicted model, not a curated record.